UCCCUGGUGGUCCAGUGGUUAGGCCUCCAAACUUCCACUCCAGGGGCACAGGUUCAAUCCCUGGUCAGGGAA
This 72-nucleotide transfer RNA is filed under the name Bos taurus (domestic cattle). It matches the Rfam family "tRNA". From Rfam's summary of the family: Transfer RNA (tRNA) molecules are approximately 80 nucleotides in length. Their secondary structure includes four short double-helical elements and three loops (D, anti-codon, and T loops). RNAcentral also lists the same sequence under 5 other names. The record is from Rfam by way of RNAcentral. Lineage: Eukaryota; Metazoa; Chordata; Mammalia; Artiodactyla; Bovidae.